Paramuricea clavata is the source of this 205-nucleotide non-coding RNA. Lineage: Eukaryota; Metazoa; Cnidaria; Anthozoa; Malacalcyonacea; Plexauridae. The record is from the annotation of a GenBank genome assembly.
CUGGUGUACGUCGUAUUCAAUUCAGACGUAAAUUUUAGAUCUCAAGAGCAUAUUGUAUGAAUUUUUAGUGCAGUCAAGCAUAUAUUCGCAGAUUUGAUGACUUUUUCGGACUAUUUGUCAAAGUGUGCAAGACGUUUGGAGUGAUUUGCCCCUCGGCUGACACUACUUGAAUGUUUUCAGAGUUAUGGUGCUGUUCUAGAUCUGU